UAUGUGAUCGUCUCUCGCAUAUCAAUAAGCGGAGGAAAAGAAACUAACAAGGAUUCCCCUAGUAACGGCGAGUGAAGCGGGAAGAGCUCAAAUUUGAAAUCUUAAAGGGUUUCCCUUUACGAAUUGUAGUUUAAAGAAGUGUUUUCUGUUGAGGUUUUGGUAAAAGUUCUUUGGAAUAGGGCAUCAUAGAGGGUGAGAAUCCCGUAUUUGACCUUUACUUUCAACUUUGUGAUACACCUUUCAAAGAGUCGGAUUGUUUGGGAAUGCAGUCCAAAAUGGGUGGUAAAUUUCAUCUAAAGCUAAAUAUUGGCGAGAGACCGAUAGCGAACAAGUACCGUGAGGGAAAGAUGAAAAGAACUUUGAAAAGAGAGUUAAACAGUACGUGAAAUUGUCAAAAGGGAAGCGUUCGACACCAGUGUUGUUUUUCUGAAAAUCAAUUAAAGAACUGUUUAUGCUAAGUUGUUUAGACUUUAUCAGCUAAUCUGCUUAGUUUUGAGCUUUUCUUUAAUGCACUUUUCAGUUAACAAGUCAACAUCAAUUUCUUUUGCUGUAAAAAAGCUUGAGGAAGGUGGCUUGAGAUUCGUCUUAAGUGUUUAUAGCCUCUUGCCUAUGCAGUCGGAGAGAUUGAGGUCUGCAGCGUAGAUCCUUCGGGGCUAAAUGCAUUUGUGCUAAGUUAUAGCAUUUUAUAGACAACUUGUUGACUAUGAUUUGUCUUGUAGCUUACUCGCUUAUGUUAUUUUACCUACGCUUAGGAUGUUGAAGACUCUACAGAGAU
RNAcentral lists this ribosomal RNA (775 nucleotides) under uncultured Neocallimastigales. RNAcentral describes it as "partial large subunit ribosomal RNA". It matches the Rfam family "Eukaryotic large subunit ribosomal RNA", at positions 24 to 624 of the family's 3401-position model. Lineage: Eukaryota; Fungi; Neocallimastigomycota; Neocallimastigomycetes; Neocallimastigales. The record is from RNAcentral.